CACUGCCGAGAAAAGCCUCUAGAUAGAAAAUAGGUGCCCGUACCGCAAACCGACACAGGUAGUCAAGAUGAGAAUUCUAAGGUGAGCGAGCGAACUCUCGUUAAGGAACUCGGCAAAAUGACCCCGUAACUUCGGGAGAAGGGGUGCUCUUUAGGGUUAACGCCCAGAAGAGCCGCAGUGAAUAGGCCCAAGCGACUGUUUAUCAAAAACACAGGUCUCUGCUAAACCGUAAGGUGAUGUAUAGGGGCUGACGCCUGCCCGGUGCUGGAAGGUUAAGAGGAGUGGUUAGCUUCUGCGAAGCUACGAAUCGAAGCCCCAGUAAACGGCGGCCGUAACUAUAACGGUCCUAAGGUAGCGAAAUUCCUUGUCGGGUAAGUUCCGACCC
Molecule: ribosomal RNA, 385 nt
Filed under: Staphylococcus aureus
Lineage: Bacteria; Bacillati; Bacillota; Bacilli; Caryophanales; Staphylococcaceae
Description: partial 23S ribosomal RNA
Rfam family: Bacterial large subunit ribosomal RNA
Source: RNAcentral